GUAGGUGGCGAGCGUUGUCCGGAAUUAUUGGGGCGUAAAGCGCGCGCAGGCGGUUCUUUAAGUCUGAUGUGAAAGCCCACGGGCUCAACCGUGGAGGGUCAUUGGAAACUGGAGAACUUGAGUACAGAAGAGGAAAGCGGAAUUCCACGUGUAGCGGUGAAAUGCGUAGAGAUGUGGAGGAACACCAGUGGCGAAGGCGGCUUUCUGGUCUGUAACAGACGCUGAGGCGCGAAAGCGUGGGGAGCAAACAGGAUUAGAUACCCUGGUAGUCCACGCCGUAAACGAUGAGUGCUAAGUGUUAGGGGGUUUCCGCCCCUUAGUGCUGCAGCUAACGCAUUAAGCACUCCGCCUGGGGAGUACGGCCGCAAAGGCUG
RNAcentral lists this ribosomal RNA (374 nucleotides) under uncultured organism. Its description in RNAcentral is "partial 16S ribosomal RNA". It matches the Rfam family "Bacterial small subunit ribosomal RNA", at positions 527 to 896 of the family's 1533-position model. The record is from RNAcentral.